AAAUUGAAGAGUUUGAUCAUGGCUCAGAUUGAACGCUGGCGGCAGGCCUAACACAUGCAAGUCGAACGGUAACAGGAAGAAGCUUGCUUCUUUGCUGACGAGUGGCGGACGGGUGAGUAAUGUCUGGGAAACUGCCUGAUGGAGGGGGAUAACUACUGGAAACGGUAGCUAAUACCGCAUAACGUCGCAAGACCAAAGAGGGGGACCUUCGGGCCUCUUGCCAUCGGAUGUGCCCAGAUGGGAUUAGCUUGUUGGUGGGGUAACGGCUCACCAAGGCGACGAUCCCUAGCUGGUCUGAGAGGAUGACCAGCCACACUGGAACUGAGACACGGUCCAGACUCCUACGGGAGGCAGCAGUGGGGAAUAUUGCACAAUGGGCGCAAGCCUGAUGCAGCCAUACCGCGUGUAUGAAGAAGGCCUUCGGGUUGUAAAGUACUUUCAGCGGGGAGGAAGGGAGUAAAGUUAAUACCUUUGCUCAUUGACGUUACCCGCAGAAGAAGCACCGGCUAACUCCGUGCCAGCAGCCGCGGUAAUACGGAGGGUGCAAGCGUUAAUCGGAAUUACUGGGCGUAAAGCGCACGCAGGCGGUUUGUUAAGUCAGAUGUGAAAUCCCCGGGCUCAACCUGGGAACUGCAUCUGAUACUGGCAAGCUUGAGUCUCGUAGAGGGGGGUAGAAUUCCAGGUGUAGCGGUGAAAUGCGUAGAGAUCUGGAGGAAUACCGGUGGCGAAGGCGGCCCCCUGGACGAAGACUGACGCUCAGGUGCGAAAGCGUGGGGAGCAAACAGGAUUAGAUACCCUGGUAGUCCACGCCGUAAACGAUGUCGACUUGGAGGUUGUGCCCUUGAGGCGUGGCUUCCGGAGCUAACGCGUUAAGUCGACCGCCUGGGGAGUACGGCCGCAAGGUUAAAACUCAAAUGAAUUGACGGGGGCCCGCACAAGCGGUGGAGCAUGUGGUUUAAUUCGAUGCAACGCGAAGAACCUUACCUGGUCUUGACAUCCACGGAAGUUUUCAGAGAUGAGAAUGUGCCUUCGGGAACCGUGAGACAGGUGCUGCAUGGCUGUCGUCAGCUCGUGUUGUGAAAUGUUGGGUUAAGUCCCGCAACGAGCGCAACCCUUAUCCUUUGUUGCCAGCGGUCCGGCCGGGAACUCAAAGGAGACUGCCAGUGAUAAACUGGAGGAAGGUGGGGAUGACGUCAAGUCAUCAUGGCCCUUACGACCAGGGCUACACACGUGCUACAAUGGCGCAUACAAAGAGAAGCGACCUCGCGAGAGCAAGCGGACCUCAUAAAGUGCGUCGUAGUCCGGAUUGGAGUCUGCAACUCGACUCCAUGAAGUCGGAAUCGCUAGUAAUCGUGGAUCAGAAUGCCACGGUGAAUACGUUCCCGGGCCUUGUACACACCGCCCGUCACACCAUGGGAGUGGGUUGCAAAAGAAGUAGGUAGCUUAACCUUCGGGAGGGCGCUUACCACUUUGUGAUUCAUGACUGGGGUGAAGUCGUAACAAGGUAACCGUAGGGGAACCUGCGGUUGGAUCACCUCCUUA
This 1542-nucleotide ribosomal RNA is filed under the name Escherichia coli. RNAcentral describes it as "bacterial SSU rRNA". It matches the Rfam family "Bacterial small subunit ribosomal RNA". The record is from RNAcentral. Lineage: Bacteria; Pseudomonadati; Pseudomonadota; Gammaproteobacteria; Enterobacterales; Enterobacteriaceae.